AUUGAACGCUGGCGGCAUGCCUUACACAUGCAAAUCGAACGGUAACGGGCCUUCGGGUGCCGACGAGUGGCGAACGGGUGAGUAAUACAUCGGAACGUGCCCGAUCGUGGGGGAUAACGAGGCGAAAGCUUUGCUAAUACCGCAUACGAUCUACGGAUGAAAGCAGGGGACCGCAAGGCCUUGCGCGGACGGAGCGGCCGAUGGCAGAUUAGGUAGUUGGUGGGAUAAAAGCUUACCAAGCCGACGAUCUGUAGCUGGUCUGAGAGGAUGAUCAGCCACACUGGGACUGAGACACGGCCCAGACUCCUACGGGAGGCAGCAGUGGGGAAUUUUGGGCAAUGGGCGCAAGCCUGAUCCAGCCAUGCCGCGUGCAGGAUGAAGGCCUUCGGGUUGUAAACUGAUUUUGUACGGAACGAAAAGCCUUCUUUUAAUACAGGAGGGUCAUGACGGUACCGUAAGAAUAAGCACCGGCUAACUACGUG
Molecule: ribosomal RNA, 482 nt
Filed under: uncultured bacterium
Lineage: Bacteria
Description: partial 16S ribosomal RNA
Rfam family: Bacterial small subunit ribosomal RNA
Source: RNAcentral